RNAcentral lists this ribosomal RNA (687 nucleotides) under uncultured bacterium. Its description in RNAcentral is "bacterial SSU rRNA". The stretch from base 1 to 543 matches the Rfam family "Bacterial small subunit ribosomal RNA", at positions 338 to 873 of the family's 1533-position model. The record is from RNAcentral.
CCUACGGGAGGCAGCAGUGGGGAAUUUUGGACAAUGGGCGCAAGCCUGAUCCAGCCAUGCCGCGUGCGGGAAGAAGGCCUUCGGGUUGUAAACCGCUUUUGUCAGGGAAGAAAAGGUUCUGGCUAAUACCUGGGACUCAUGACGGUACCUGAAGAAUAAGCACCGGCUAACUACGUGCCAGCAGCCGCGGUAAUACGUAGGGUGCAAGCGUUAAUCGGAAUUACUGGGCGUAAAGCGUGCGCAGGCGGUUAUGCAAGACAGAGGUGAAAUCCCCGGGCUCAACCUGGGAACUGCCUUUGUGACUGCAUAGCUAGAGUACGGUAGAGGGGGAUGGAAUUCCGCGUGUAGCAGUGAAAUGCGUAGAUAUGCGGAGGAACACCGAUGGCGAAGGCAAUCCCCUGGACCUGUACUGACGCUCAUGCACGAAAGCGUGGGGAGCAAACGAGGAGUAGUAGUACCUACGGUAGGUACCGUACCGACCCGUAACCCGUAAACGUAGUCGUAACCUACGGUUGGUUUGGGUAGGGGGUUUACGGUUUCUUCCUAGUAACGUUAACGGUCGUAACCGUACCGUGUAAGGUUAGUACCGGCCCGUCGGGGUAGGGUAACGGCCGGCCGACGGUUAGGUAACGUACCGAAGAAAGUAGUAGGCGGUGAGAGAGACGACGACGACGACGACGGAGGAGG